AUGGUGUCUGAGGCCAGCAGCGGCAGCGAGUGGGCUGCUCCUGGGAGUCAGGGUCUGAGAGCAGAUUCUCAGACUGUGGUCACCCAGAAGCCAUCACUCUCAGUGUCUCCAGGAGGGACAGUCACACUCAUAUGUGGCCUCAGCUCUGGGUCAGUCUCUACAAGUAAUUACCCUGGCUGGUACCAGCAGACCCAAGGCCGGGCUUCUCGCACAAUUAUCUACAGCACAAGCAGCCGCCCCUCUGGGGUCCCUAAUCGCUUCCCUGGAUCCAUCUCUGGGAACAAAGCCGCCCUCACCAUCACAGGAGCCCAGCCUGAGGACGAGGCUGACUAUUACUGUUCCUUGUAUAUGGGUAGUUACACUGACACGGUGAUUUAG
This is a non-coding RNA of Canis lupus familiaris (dog), 378 nucleotides long. The record is from the annotation of a RefSeq genome assembly. Lineage: Eukaryota; Metazoa; Chordata; Mammalia; Carnivora; Canidae.